CCUACGGGUGGCUGCAGUCGAGGAUCUUCGGCAAUGGGCGCAAGCCUGACCGAGCGACGCCGCGUGCGCGAUGAAGGCCUUCGGGUUGUAAAGCGCUGUCGAGGGGGAGGAAAGCCCGCAAGGGCCUGACCUAUCCCUGGAGGAAGCACGGGCUAAGUUCGUGCCAGCAGCCGCGGUAAGACGAACCGUGCGAACGUUGUUCGGAAUCACUGGGCUUAAAGGGCGCGUAGGCGGCUCGCCAAGUCGGGGGUGAAAUCUUUCGGCUCAACCGGAAAAGUGCCUUCGAUACUGGCGGGCUAGAGGGAGGUAGGGGCAUGCGGAACUUCCGGUGGAGCGGUGAAAUGCGUUGAUAUCGGAAGGAACGCCGGUGGCGAAAGCGGCGUGCUGGACCUCUUCUGACGCUGAGGCGCGAAAGCUAGGGGAGCAAACGGGAUUAGAUA
RNAcentral lists this ribosomal RNA (440 nucleotides) under uncultured bacterium. Its description in RNAcentral is "bacterial SSU rRNA". It matches the Rfam family "Bacterial small subunit ribosomal RNA", at positions 338 to 784 of the family's 1533-position model. The record is from RNAcentral.